RNAcentral lists this ribosomal RNA (468 nucleotides) under uncultured bacterium. RNAcentral's name for it is "partial 16S ribosomal RNA". It matches the Rfam family "Bacterial small subunit ribosomal RNA", at positions 28 to 507 of the family's 1533-position model. The record is from RNAcentral.
GACGAACGCUGGCGGCGUGCUUAACACAUGCAAGUCGAACGGAAAGGCCCUGCUUUUGUGGGGUGCUCGCGUGGCGAACGGGUGAGUAACACGUGAGUAACCUGCCCUUGACUGUGGGAUAACUUCAGGAAACUGGGGCUAAUACCGGAUAGGAGCUCCUGCUGCAUGGUGGGGGUUGGAAAGUUUCGGCGGUUGGGGCUGGACUCGCGGCUUAUCAGCUUGUUGGUGGGGUAGUGGCUUACCAGGGCUUUGACGGGUAGCCGGCAUGAGAGGGUGACCGGCCACAUUGCUCCUGCGGGACGGAGCAGACGCCAAUGUUGGGCAGCAGUGGGGAACAUUGUACAACGGGGCGAAGUGUGAGGCAACGGCGCCGCGUUCGUGAUGACGUCUUUCGGGUUGGAAACCGCUUUCGCUUGUGACCAAGCGUGAGUGACGGUAACGGGUAAAGAAGCACCGGCUAACUACGUG